GCGGUUAUGGCGGAAUUGGCAGACGCGCCAGAUUUAGGUUCUGGUGGGAGACCGUGCAGGUUCAAGUCCUGUUAGCCGCAUCA
Molecule: transfer RNA, 83 nt
Filed under: Clostridium sp. KLE 1755
Lineage: Bacteria; Bacillati; Bacillota; Clostridia; Eubacteriales; Clostridiaceae
Also listed under: 1 other name
Description: tRNA-Leu
Rfam family: tRNA
About the family: Transfer RNA (tRNA) molecules are approximately 80 nucleotides in length. Their secondary structure includes four short double-helical elements and three loops (D, anti-codon, and T loops). Further hydrogen bonds mediate the characteristic L-shaped molecular structure. tRNAs have two regions of fundamental functional importance: the anti-codon, which is responsible for specific mRNA codon recognition, and the 3' end, to which the tRNAs corresponding amino acid is attached (by aminoacyl-tRNA synthetases). tRNAs cope with the degeneracy of the genetic code in two manners: having more than one tRNA (with a specific anti-codon) for a particular amino acid; and 'wobble' base-pairing, i.e. permitting non-standard base-pairing at the 3rd anti-codon position.
Source: RNAcentral